UUAAGGCGAAGUGUACGUAAUUAAACUACACAAUGGAUUUUUUUGAAAUUUUACAUGUAGAUUCUACUUGUAAAAUUAAAUCGGAAGAUAAAAUAAAAAAAGGGGGUAACCGUUUUCGUUUUUGAGAUACGAGCUGUUGAAGUUAACAGCAUCAUACACCAAAAUUACAAAGGAUAUAUAGGGAAAAUCGUGAAAUUCGGCAGGAAUUGUU
This 211-nucleotide long non-coding RNA is filed under the name Mytilus galloprovincialis (Mediterranean mussel). The record is from RNAcentral. Lineage: Eukaryota; Metazoa; Mollusca; Bivalvia; Mytilida; Mytilidae.